This 380-nucleotide ribosomal RNA is filed under the name uncultured eukaryote. RNAcentral describes it as "partial 18S ribosomal RNA". It matches the Rfam family "Eukaryotic small subunit ribosomal RNA", at positions 592 to 976 of the family's 1831-position model. The record is from RNAcentral.
CAAUAGCGUAUAUUAAAGUUGUUGCGGUUAAAAAGCUCGUAGUUGGAUUUCUGCUGAGAACGACCGGUCCGCCCUUUGGGUGUGUAUCUGGCUCUUUCUUGGCAUCUUCUUGGUGAACGUUGCUGCACUUGACUGUGUGGAGCGCUACCCAGGACUUUUACUUUGAGGAAAUUAGAGUGUUUCAAGCAGGCAUACGCCUUGAAUACAUUAGCAUGGAAUAAUAAGAUAGGACCUCGGUUCUAUUUUGUUGGUUUCUAGAGCUGAGGUAAUGAUUAAUAGGGAUAGUUGGGGGCAUUCGUAUUUAACUGUCAGAGGUGAAAUUCUUGGAUUUGUUAAAGACGGACGACUGCGAAAGCGUUUGCCCAAGAUGUUUUCAUUGA